Molecule: ribosomal RNA, 253 nt
Filed under: uncultured bacterium
Lineage: Bacteria
Description: partial 16S ribosomal RNA
Rfam family: Bacterial small subunit ribosomal RNA
Source: RNAcentral
UACGGAGGGUGCAAACGUUGCUCGGAAUCAUUGGGCGUAAAGCGCACGUAGGCGGCCUGUUAAGUCGGGUGUGAAAUCCCUGGGCUCAACCCAGGAAGUGCACUCGAAACUGGCAGGCUUGAGUACUGAAGAGGGUCGCGGAAUUCCCGGUGUAGAGGUGAAAUUCGUAGAUAUCGGGAGGAACACCAGUGGCGAAGGCGGCGACCUGGGCAGAUACUGACGCUGAGGUGCGAAAGCGUGGGGAGCAAACAGG